RNAcentral lists this ribosomal RNA (253 nucleotides) under uncultured bacterium. Its description in RNAcentral is "partial 16S ribosomal RNA". It matches the Rfam family "Bacterial small subunit ribosomal RNA", at positions 524 to 776 of the family's 1533-position model. The record is from RNAcentral.
GACGAACCGAGCGAACGUUAUUCGGAAUCACUGGGCUUAAAGGGCGCGUAGGCGGGCCGUCAAGUCGAGGGUGAAAUCCCCCAGCUCAACUGGGGAAGUGCCUCCGAUACUGGCGGUCUCGAGGGGGAUAGGGGCAUGCGGAACUUCCGGUGGAGCGGUGAAAUGCGUAGAUAUCGGAAGGAACACCGGUGGCGAAAGCGGCGUGCUGGAUCCCUUCUGACGCUGAGGCGCGAAAGCCAGGGGAGCGAACGGG